AUGGUACAUUUAUUAUUUUCCUCUAUUAUUAUUGGUGUUAUUACAAUUAUUAUUUUAUGUGAUUUAUUAUUAUUAUUAAUUAUACAUUUAUUAUUUCAUUCUGAUAUUAUUAUUAUUAUUGCAUUUAUUAUUUUACUGUAUUUAUUAUUGCUAUUACAUUUAUUAAUUUACUCAAUUAUUACAUUUAUUAUUUUACUGUAUUUAUUAUUACAGUAGAGUCUCACUUAUCCAACAUAAACGGGUCUUGGUUGGCUUAUAUUUGGGUCAGCUUAUACUCAAGAAUAUAUGGUACAUUUAUUAUUUUUCUCUAUUAUUAUUGCUAUUAUUACAUUUAUUAUUUUUUUCUAUUAUUGUUGCUACUACAGUAGAGUCUCACUUAUCCAACAUAAACGGGCUGGCAGAAGCUUGGAUAAGCGAAUAUCUUGGAUAAUAAGGAGGGAUUAAGGAAAAGCCUAUUAAACAUCAAAUUAGGUUAUGAUUUUACAAAUUAAGCACCAAAACAUCAUGUUAUACAACAAAUUCGACAGAAAAAGUAGUUCAAUACGCAGUAAUGCUAUGUAGUAAUUACUGUAUUUACGAAUUUAGUACCAAAAUAUCACGAUAUAUUGAAAACAUUGACUACAAAAAUGCGUUGGAUAAUCCAGAACGUUGGAUAAGAGAAUGUUGGAUAAGUGAGACUCUACUGUAAAUAAAUUGGUACUGUCUUAACAAAAUUGUGGGUUUCAGCAUUGACUUGUUUGCUUUCAAAAUGUGAGCUAGUAGUGAGAAAAAUCGCCUUGCUUGACUACGAUGUGCUAUUGAUUUCUAGCUGCCCUGAUGUGCUAAUGUGUUAAUGUGAUUGUUCGAAUGGACAACUGUCUACAGCUUGUAAACUCAGUUGAACCUUACUUGCUUUUUUUUUUUUUUUGCCAAGAGCUGGAAAACAGUAUCAAUCCUAAGAGCAUCCAUUAAUAAAAACGUAGGAAGGAGGGAAGGGUGCCGUGCCCGUAUGUCUUGCGUUUCGGGGGAAGCGGGUUAAUCUUUUUUUGGGAGACUUCAAACUUAAUUUGUAGAUUGUGUCUAAAUGAUAGAAAGCCCGCACUGUCAUCUCCUGAGUGCUGACUGUCCUUGACAGUUCUGACAUUUCAGCAGUCAGUUGUGAGCGGAGAGAUUCGUGGAGAACGGCCUCAUUAUUUAUAGUGCCACGUGGGAGCUGUGAGGCUCGAUCGUAACCUAGGAGGGUAUUUUUCCCCCAUUAGCCUCUGAACAGCAGACGGCUAAGGACCCCCGACUGUAUUUCAAAGUUCUGUCUGUUGCUUUUUGAUUCCUUAAUUGUACAUUUCUCACCGCCUAUCAGAUGCUUCCUGGGAUUUCUUUGUACCCCAGUCAGCAGGUGACAACAGGACAGGACUUCCUAAAGUGAGACACUGUCACACUGAGAACUUCUCCAGAAACUGCCAUUUGGGAGACUUACUACACUGUGUUGUCGAAGGCUUUCAUGGCUGGGAUCACAGGGUUGUUGUGUAUCUUUUGGGCUGUGUGGCCAUGUUCCAGAAGUAUUCUCUCCUGACGUUUCGCCCACAUCUAUGGCAGGCAUCCUCAGAGGUUGUGAGGCAUAGAUAAACUAGGCAAGGAAGGUAAAAAUAUAUAUCUCCAGCAGAGGCGCUCCAACCACCAGGCAAUCUAGGCAUUUGCCUGUGGCGCCAUCGUUCCAGGGGCGCCAUCAAGGCCCCCAGAAGGGUGGCGCCACCCCCCACCUCCUUCACCUUUGGGACAGGCCUUCCCACCGCGGCCUGGGCCUUGCUGCU
Long non-coding RNA from Anolis carolinensis (green anole), 1787 nucleotides. Lineage: Eukaryota; Metazoa; Chordata; Lepidosauria; Squamata; Anolidae. The record is from Ensembl.